Molecule: ribosomal RNA, 353 nt
Filed under: uncultured bacterium
Lineage: Bacteria
Description: bacterial SSU rRNA
Rfam family: Bacterial small subunit ribosomal RNA
Source: RNAcentral
AGAGUUUGAUCCUGGCUCAGGAUGAACGCUAGCUACAGGCUUAACACAUGCAAGUCGAGGGGCAGCAUGGUCUUAGCUUGCUAAGGCCGAUGGCGACCGGCGCACGGGUGAGUACACGUAUCCAACCUGCCGUCUACUCUUGGACAGCCUUCUGAAAGGAAGNUUAAUACAAGAUGGCAUCAUGAGUCCGCAUGUUCACAUGAUUAAAGGUAUUCCGGUAGACGAUGGGGAUGCGUUCCAUUAGAUAGUAGGCGGGGUAACGGCCCACCUAGUCUUCGAUGGAUAGGGGUUCUGAGAGGAAGGUCCCCCACAUUGGAACUGAGACACGGUCCAAACUCCUACGGGAGGCAGCA